This 433-nucleotide ribosomal RNA is filed under the name uncultured bacterium. RNAcentral's name for it is "partial 16S ribosomal RNA". It matches the Rfam family "Bacterial small subunit ribosomal RNA", at positions 29 to 507 of the family's 1533-position model. The record is from RNAcentral.
AACGAACGCUGGCGGCAUGCCUAACACAUGCAAGUCGAACGAGACCUUCGGGUCUAGUGGCGCACUGGUGCGUAACGCGUGGGAACCUGCCCUUAGGUUCGGAAUAACUCCCCGAAAGGGGUGCUAAUACCGGAUAAUGUCUUCGGACCAAAGAUUUAUCGCCUUUGGAUGGGCCCGCGUUGGAUUAGCUUGUUGGUAGGGUAAAAGCCUACCAAGGGGACGAUCCAUAGCUGGUCUGAGAGGAUGAUCAGCCACACUGGGACUGAGACACGGCCCAGACUCCUACGGGAGGCAGCAGUGGGGAAUAUUGGACAAUGGGCGAGAGCCUGAUCCAGCAAUGCCGCGUGAGUGAUGAAGGCCUUAGGGUUGUAAAGCUCUUUUACCCGGGAUGAUAAUGACAGUACCGGGAGAAUAAGCUCCGGCUAACUCCGUG